This 66-nucleotide transfer RNA is filed under the name Atkinsoniella yunnanana. RNAcentral describes it as "tRNA-Glu". The record is from RNAcentral. Lineage: Eukaryota; Metazoa; Arthropoda; Insecta; Hemiptera; Cicadellidae.
AUUUAUAUAGUUUAUAAAAACACUUUAUUUUCAUUAAAGAAAUAGUUAUAUUUUAACUUAUAAAUU